GGUAGAAUGGCUGAAUUAUAGGCAGUAAAUUGUAAAUUUAUUAAUGAGAGUUAUCUCUUUUACCA
This 65-nucleotide transfer RNA is filed under the name Callimenellus fumidus. RNAcentral's name for it is "tRNA-Tyr". It matches the Rfam family "tRNA". From Rfam's summary of the family: Transfer RNA (tRNA) molecules are approximately 80 nucleotides in length. The record is from RNAcentral. Lineage: Eukaryota; Metazoa; Arthropoda; Insecta; Orthoptera; Tettigoniidae.